Molecule: long non-coding RNA, 494 nt
Organism: Amblyraja radiata (thorny skate)
Lineage: Eukaryota; Metazoa; Chordata; Chondrichthyes; Rajiformes; Rajidae
Exons: 3
Source: RefSeq, a predicted model, not a curated record
UACGGUUUCUGAGGGUUCUAUUCUUUCCGUGCUAGCCCUUUUUCCCUUUGGAUUCUCCUUGAUCCUAUCUGCCAGAGCUGUCUCAUGCCCCUUUUUUGCCCUUCUGAUUUCCUUUUUAAGUAUACUCCUCAAUCCCCUAUACUCCUCGAGGGAUACACCUGAACUCAGCUGUUUAUAUCAAUCCCUUGCCUCCUCCUUUUUCCUGACCAGAGCCUCAAUUUCUCUCUUCAUCCACGGUCCUUUACUCCUGCCUGCCUCAUCCUUCACUCUAACAGGAGUAUGCGUACCUUGAACUCUCAUUAUCACACUUUUGAAAGGAUCCCACUUUUCAGCCAAUUUUAAUCAUCUAUUGCCCUCAAAGAUGCACUUACCCAUUUAGAACUUUAACUUGUGGACCAGCCCUGUCCUACUUUAAAACUAAUAGAACUGUGGUUGCUGGUCCCAAAAGCCUCACCCACUGACAUUUCAGUCACUUGCCCCGCCCAUGUCCCCAA